This 80-nucleotide transfer RNA is filed under the name Mesosutterella multiformis. It matches the Rfam family "tRNA". Rfam says of the family: Transfer RNA (tRNA) molecules are approximately 80 nucleotides in length. Their secondary structure includes four short double-helical elements and three loops (D, anti-codon, and T loops). The record is from Rfam by way of RNAcentral. Lineage: Bacteria; Pseudomonadati; Pseudomonadota; Betaproteobacteria; Burkholderiales; Sutterellaceae.
GCCCGGGUGGCGGAAUUGGUAGACGCAGGGGACUUAAAAUCCCUCGCUUCGGCAUACGGGUUCGAGUCCCGUCCCGGGUA